Molecule: ribosomal RNA, 446 nt
Filed under: uncultured bacterium
Lineage: Bacteria
Description: bacterial SSU rRNA
Rfam family: Bacterial small subunit ribosomal RNA
Source: RNAcentral
AACGAACGCUGGCGGCAGGCUUAACACAUGCAAGUCGAACGCUCGUAGCAAUACGGGAGUGGCGGACGGGUGAGUAACGCGUGGGAACGUGCCCUGAGGUACGGAAUAACUGAGGGAAACUUCAGCUAAUACCGUAUGAGCCCCGAGAGGGGGAAAGAUUUAUCGCCUUGGGAGCGGCCCGCGUCGGAUUAGCUAGUUGGUGGGGUAACGGCCUACCAAGGCUUCGAUCCGUAGCUGGUCUGAGAGGACGAUCAGCCACACUGGGACUGAGACACGGCCCAGACUCCUACGGGAGGCAGCAGUGGGGAAUCUUGCGCAAUGGGGGCAACCCUGACGCAGCCAUGCCGCGUGAACGAUGAAGGCCUUAGGGUUGUAAAGUUCUUUUACCCGUGACGAUGAUGACGGUAACGGGGAAUAAGCUCCGGCUAACUUCGUGCCAGCAGCCG